UCGUAGGGCCAGGUCGGGAACCGCAGGGAAAAGGCCGGCUGAGCCGGGCCAAGGGGCCGCCCCGCCCACCCCGGCGGCUCCUGCUGGGACCGUCUGGUAUUUCACACUUGACACCAGAUAUUUGGAUUUUUAAGUACAAUCUUCUGAUUUUCAAAGUUAACACUUCAAUUUUUUUUUUUUAAGCAAAACAAAAACCUCAGAGGAUGCAGAUCUGUGUUUCCAAACUGCAAGCGCCCAGCUUGCAGCCUCAGUGCCAGCAGAGGACCCCUCCCCUCCUCUUAGGCGCAGCUUUUGCCUGACUCUGGGAGCAUCUCUUCGUCCUCGGGCAGCUCUUCGCUUCAUUCCACGUGGACAGACCUUCAACGACCUAUCACCGUGCUGUCCGGUUCCGGCCUGCAGCCUGGGGAGGAAGCUGUGGAGAUGGAUGGUCCUGUCCUGCCCUGCAGACGCGCCAGAGGUAGAAGCCAAGCUCAUCUCGGAGGAAGACUCUCUCCUCUUUGGAAGACAAAACGAUCAGUGGCUGUGUCCAGGGAAGGCAGCCCCUGUUUCGAGAGGAGCAGCUGAUCUGCAGGGAGCUGACCUACUCCUAGCUCUCACUCACUUUGCAGCAGGAAGAAGGGGGAACAGGCUGAGGGCUGCUCUGAACCAGCUGGUCAGCUGUCUCUCCUCAGAUCCGGACCACUCAGCCACUGAGCUGCGAGAUAGUCAGGAACUGAAUCCACUUUUGCUGGGCAUGUGGAUACGUCAGUCGAAAUUAGAAUGGAUUGAAAGAAUGUUCCCCACUGCAGUUGUAAACGAAGUGCCAUGUCUGUUCCUCAUGGAAGGAAAAUUCAGAGAACUGAAUAGAAGAAAAUUAAAAUCUCCACAACUCCGAGAGGAGUACAGUUAACAUGUUGAAGUCCUUCUUUUUUUCAAACACUUAAAAAUAUUUUUUUAAUUUUUAUUUUUUAAUUUUGAUUUUAUAUUGGAGUAUGGUUGAUUACCAGCAUCAUAUUUGUUUCAGGGAUACAGCAAAGUGAUUCAGUUUUACAUGCACAUGUAUCUAUUCUUUUCAAAGUCUUUGCUCAUUUAGGUUACUAUUGACUAGAGUUCCCUAUGCUAUACAGUACUUUGGCCACCUCAUGUGAACAGUUGACUCAUUGGAAAAGACUCUGAUGCUGGGAGGGAUUGGGGGCGGGAGGAGAAGGGGACGACAGAGGAUGAGAUGGCUGGAUGGCAUCACUGACUUGAUGGACAUGAGUUUGAGUGAACUCUGGGAGUUGGUGUUGGACAGGGAGGCCUGGUGUGCUGUGAUUCAUGGGGUCGCAAAGAGUCGGACACGACUGAGCGACUGAACUGAACUGAACUGAAGUUCUUGUUGGCUGUCUGUUUUAAAUAUAGUAGUAUGUACAUGUCAAUUCCAAAAAAAAUAGAGACAAACCACUUGUGGUUACAGGGUUGGGGGGAGGUCGGGGAAGGGAUAGACAGAGAGGCUGGAACUAUGACAUCCUUCUGACUUCUCCCUCCAACUGCUGAUGGUCGUGCAGGCUGAGACCUCCUUUGCAAUCUAUGGCUAGACUUUCCCCCUGAGUGUGUAUCAAGCUUUUCGCUAUGGAAGGUGUUUUGAAUGUCAAGAAGCAAGCUCAGGGGCUUACAGAGAGGAAAAUCACCCCUGCAAUCCUUCAGCUUCCCUAUCAAAUGUGUCCCAAUCCUGACUUCCAAACUUGGGUGGGUGAAUUCUAUGUUUCUUAAAUUACACUGAUUUAAGAGCCACGUGGGAAACAAGUGAUUCUCCAAAUGACGUUUUUCUAUACCUCAAGCGGCCAAGAGCGCCUGGGCCUGGGGGAGAGGAAAUGGCCAUCCACUUCUUGGAGAGAUCAGGGAUCUCUAAGUUUCAUGUUUUUUUAACUCAAUUAGCUUGGGAGUGGGGGUGGGGUGGGUCACCAGCUGCAUGGUCUGUGAGUCAUUUGAAUUUUGAGCUCCAAACUAUUUUAAGUAAUGAAAUUUUAAGUUUUGAGGGUUCUAUUACUAUUGUUGUUGCUAUUAUUACUAUUAUUAUUAAUUCAUUUUCAAAUCUGACUUUGGAACAGAGUGAUUAUUUCUCCUAAGAUUUCAACUUUAGAUUUUGAAGUCUGUAAACAAGAAGGCAAUUUGAGGUAUCUAGGGAGAUUAUAAGUGAAAUUAGUGUACAAAGACAAAACUGAUUGGUCUGUGGGAAUGGAGAAAAGACAGAAUGAAGAGUCUGUAAACUAUCUACUAACCUCACAGUGGCCUCACUGACUGACUCUGAAACCUAGUUCAGUUCAGUUCAGUCACUCAGUCAUGUCCGACUCUUUGUGACCCCAUGGACUGUAGCACGCCAGGCUUCCCUGUCCAUCACCAACUCCCGGAGCUUGCUCAGACUCAUGUCCAUUGAGUCAGUGAUGCCAUCCAACCAUCUCAUCCUCUGUCGUCCCCUUCUGCCUUCAAUAUUUCCCAGCAUCAGGGUCUUUUCCAAUGAGUCAGUUCCUUAUAUCAGGUGGCCAAAGUAUUGGAGUUUCAGCUUCAGCAUCAGUCUUUCCAAUGAAUAUUCAGGACUGAUUUUCUUUAGGAUUGACUGGUUGGAUCUCCUUACAGUCCAAGGGACUCUCAAGAGUCUUUUCCAACACCACAGUUGAAAAGCAUCAAUUCUUUGGUGCUCAGCUUUCUUUGUACUCCAACUCUCACAUCCAUACAUGACCACUGGAAAAAGCGUAGCUUUGACUUUGUCAGCAAAGUAAUGUCUCUGCUUUUUAAUAUGCUGUCUAGGUUGAGCAUAGCUUUUCUUCCAAGGAGCAAACGUCUUUUAAUUUCAUGGCUGCAGUCACCAUCUAUAGUGAUUUUGGAGCCCCCCAAAAAUAAAGUCUGUCACUGUUCCCA
Bos indicus x Bos taurus (hybrid cattle) is the source of this 2877-nucleotide long non-coding RNA. Lineage: Eukaryota; Metazoa; Chordata; Mammalia; Artiodactyla; Bovidae. The record is from Ensembl.